CUGUCAAUUUUGCCCAACCAACACUAAAACUUGAGUAAAGUGCAAUACCUAGUCCGCCACUAGGUGGCAGUGCACAAUGAAAUGUUCUUCUUCUGCUGAUUCUGGCAUUUGUUUUGCCUUGGGGAAAGCCUGAAAAAACGUGAGCCAGAGCAGGAGUAAAUAUUAAGAUUUAAAUUGAUUUAGAGAGUGAAAUAUAUCCUUGAGGUUGAACCACAUUGAAAAUUAGACAACACCUGUUGUAAACAAAGUUAUAUUGUGGAUAAAAAACCAGUCUGGCUAUCUACAAUAGCAGUGGAUGUUACCUCACAGGUACAUUUUGUUGUAUAUUUCUAAUCUUGGUACAAUGAAAAAUGCAUUUUUGAAGGAAAUAAUUUUGUUUUGAGUCAAUUUUGAGUUACUAUCCAAUAUUGUACUUUUGUUUGUCCAAUUCCAUUUUAUUGAUUUUCAUUUUAAGAUGUAUUAUCGAGAAUAUGGACUUUUAAGUGAUGAAUGGAUGAAAAAAGGACAUUUAGUUGAACAUUAGUUAAUGUCUGCACAUUUUUUUGUGUAGACUGGUUUUUUUUAGGCUUCUUCUCGUCCUGGAUCCUUUGUGUCCUUUCCACUGAAGCUGGAUUCUUCUCUGUUCGCCCUGGUGUUUGUUUUCCGGGUCCACUGCUUCAAUAACAGCGCUGCAACGGUUCCAUUGGGUGAUUUGAUAUGGACGCUAAGUAUUGAAGGGGUAGUUGGAUAGUUAAAUUAUUUGAGUGCACUCAAGGGUAAUUUUUUUUUUUUAAAUAUUUCUCCUUUGUUUUGUUUUAUGAGAUCUCAAAAGUUGUGGCCAAUUUGUAACAUCAGUGUUACUAAUUUUGUGUGAACUGAACUAAUUAUUGAAUUUUGAGUAAGAAAAUAAGAAAAAUAAUUAGAACAAGAACUACAUUUAAACUUUAA
Molecule: non-coding RNA, 927 nt
Organism: Misgurnus anguillicaudatus (oriental weatherfish)
Lineage: Eukaryota; Metazoa; Chordata; Actinopteri; Cypriniformes; Cobitidae
Source: RefSeq, a predicted model, not a curated record